AUUGAACGCUGGCGGAAUGCUUUACACAUGCAAGUCGAGCGGCAGCGCGGGGCAACCUGGCGGCGGGCGGCGAACGGGUGAGUAAUGUAUCGGAACGUAUCCUUAAGUGGGGGACAACUAGUCGAAAGACUAGCUAAUACCGCAUACGAUCGAGAGAUGAAAGUGGGGGACCGCAAGGCCUCACGCUUUUGGAGCGGCCGAUAUCCGAUUAGCUUGUUGGUGAGGUAAAGGCUUACCAAGGCUAUGAUCGGUAGCUGGUCUGAGAGGAUGAUCAGCCACACUGGGACUGAGACACGGCCCAGACUCCUACGGGAGGCAGCAGUGGGGAAUUUUGGACAAUGGGGGCAACCCUGAUCCAGCCAUUCCGCGUGAGUGAAGAAGGCCUUCGGGUUGUAAAGCUCUUUUGUCGGGGACGAAACGGUUUCACCUAAUACGUGAGACUACUGACGGUACCCGAAGAAUAAGCACCGGCUAACUACGUG
RNAcentral lists this ribosomal RNA (482 nucleotides) under uncultured bacterium. RNAcentral's name for it is "bacterial SSU rRNA". It matches the Rfam family "Bacterial small subunit ribosomal RNA", at positions 30 to 507 of the family's 1533-position model. The record is from RNAcentral.